Molecule: ribosomal RNA, 415 nt
Filed under: uncultured Isochrysis
Lineage: Eukaryota; Haptophyta; Isochrysidales
Description: partial Bacterial large subunit ribosomal RNA
Source: RNAcentral
UAGUCCUUUAUGUGUAAAUCUUUGAAUAAAAACAAAAUUCUGCUAACUGAAAUAUCUUACUAGCAGUAAUAAAAAUCAAAAGAGUCAAUUUUUAGUAACGAUGAGUGAAGUAAUUUUGUAAUAAACUUUUUCUUUGAUAAGCCAAAGUUGGUAAAAAGACCAUCUUAUUCAGUUAUUACAUAGACUUGUUUAUUGGUGCAGAAAAUUGUACUUCUUGUAGAAUUUGCUACAAGUCUUAUGUCACUGUUGAUAUCAAUAGCGCACAGUACUGUGAAGAAAAGUUUUAAAUUUAGUGGCUUAAAACAAUCUUAUUUUAAGAUGUACUUUUUGUAUUAUGGUUUGACGACUUAAUUUUUUAAGCAAGCAUUACUGCGUUUAUAACUUACUCAUAGUUUAAAUAAUUAGACACGAAGCG